CCUACGGGAGGCAGCAGUGGGGAAUAUUGCACAAUGGAGGGAACUCUGAUGCAGCGACGCCGCGUGAGUGAAGAAGUAAUUCGUUAUGUAAAGCUCUAUCAGCAGGGAAGAAAGUGACGGUACCUGAAAAAGAAGCUCCGGCUAAAUACGUGCCAGCAGCCGCGGUAAUACGUAUGGAGCAAGCGUUAUCCGGAUUUACUGGGUGUAAAGGGAGAGUAGGUGGCAGAGCAAGUCCGAAGUGAAAACCCAAAGCUCAACUAUGGGAAUGCUUUAGAAACUGCUCAGCUAGAGUGCAGGAGAGGCAAGUGGAAGUUCUAGUGUAGGAGUGAAAUCCGUAGAUAUUAGAAGGAACACCAAUAGCGUAGGCAGGUUGCUGGGACGGUUCUGACACUAAGGCACGAAAGCGUAGGGAGCAAACGGGAUUAGAUACCCCAGUAGUC
This 440-nucleotide ribosomal RNA is filed under the name uncultured bacterium. Its description in RNAcentral is "partial 16S ribosomal RNA". It matches the Rfam family "Bacterial small subunit ribosomal RNA", at positions 338 to 795 of the family's 1533-position model. The record is from RNAcentral.